GACGAACGCUGGCGGCGUGCUUAACACAUGCAAGUCGAACGGAAAGGCCCUGCUUUUGUGGGGUGCUCGUGUGGCGAACGGGUGAGUAACACGUGAGUAACCUGCCCUUGACUUUGGGAUAACUUCAGGAAACUGGGGCUAAUACCGGAUAGGAGCUCCUGCUGCAUGGUGGGGGUUGGAAAGUUUCGGCGGUUGGGGAUGGACUCGCGGCUUAUCAGCUUGUUGGUGUGGUAGUGGCUUACCAAGGCUUUGACGGGUAGCCGGCCUGGGAGGGUUACCGGCCACAUUGGGACUGAGAUACGGCCCAGACGCCUACGGGAGGCAGCAGUGGGGAAUAUUGCACAAUGGGCGGAAGCCUGAUGCAGCAACGCCGCGUGCGGGAUGACGGCCUUCGGGUUGUAAACCGCUUUCGCCUGUGACGAAGCGUGAGUGACGGUAAUGGGUAAAGAAGCACCGGCUAACUACGUG
This 468-nucleotide ribosomal RNA is filed under the name uncultured bacterium. RNAcentral's name for it is "partial 16S ribosomal RNA". It matches the Rfam family "Bacterial small subunit ribosomal RNA", at positions 28 to 507 of the family's 1533-position model. The record is from RNAcentral.